Molecule: ribosomal RNA, 474 nt
Filed under: uncultured Gammaproteobacteria bacterium
Lineage: Bacteria; Pseudomonadati; Pseudomonadota; Gammaproteobacteria
Description: bacterial SSU rRNA
Rfam family: Bacterial small subunit ribosomal RNA
Source: RNAcentral
UGAUACGUCUCCUACGGGAGGCAGCAGUGGGGAAUAUUGCACAAUGGGCGAAAGCCUGAUGCAGCCAUGCCGCGUGUGUGAAGAAGGCCUUCGGUUGUAAGCACUUCAGCGAGGAGGAAAGGUUAGUACUUAAUACGUGCUAGCUGUGACGUUACUCGCAGAAGAAGCACCGGCUAAUUUAGUGCCAGCAGCCGCGGUAAUACUAAAGGUGCAAGCGUUAAUCGGAAUUACUGGGCGUAAAGCGCGCGUAGGUGGUUUGUUAAGUUGGAUGUGAAAGCCCAGGGCUCAACCUUGGAACUGCAUUCAAAACUGACUCACUAGAGUACGAGAGAGGUUAGUGGAAUUUCCUGUGUAGCGGUGAAAUGCGUAGAGAUGGGAAGGAACACCGGUGGCGAAGGCGACUGACUGGCUCGAUACUGACACUGAGGUGCGAAAGCGUGGGGAGCAAACGGGAUUAGAUACCCCCGUAGUCCA